This 265-nucleotide ribosomal RNA is filed under the name uncultured bacterium. RNAcentral describes it as "partial 16S ribosomal RNA". It matches the Rfam family "Bacterial small subunit ribosomal RNA", at positions 335 to 617 of the family's 1533-position model. The record is from RNAcentral.
AAUGCCUCGGGACGCAGCAGUAGGGAAUAUUGCUCAAUGGGGGGAACCCUGAAGCAGCAACGCCGCGUGGAGGAUGAAGGUUUUCGGAUUGUAAACUCCUUUUGUUAGAGAAGAUAAUGACGGUAUCUAACGAAUAAGCACCGGCUAGCUCCGUGCCAGCAGCCGCGGUAAUACGGAGGGUGCAAGCGUUACUCGGAAUCACUGGGCGUAAAGAGCGCGUAGGCGGGAUAGCAAGUCAGAUGUGAAAUCCUAUGGCUUAACCAUA